RNAcentral lists this long non-coding RNA (385 nucleotides) under Coffea arabica (coffee). RNAcentral describes it as "long non-coding RNA (CARA_LNC003755)". The record is from RNAcentral. Lineage: Eukaryota; Viridiplantae; Streptophyta; Magnoliopsida; Gentianales; Rubiaceae.
UUGAUCGUUCAUUGAUUUUAGAAUUAGUGUGCCUUGCGUGUUUGAUUGGACUGAAUUUCCUUGGUUUUUGACAAAUUUCUGGGUUAGUUAUGCUUCAAUUUGAGCAGAAAUCUGGUAAGAUUUUGAUGCCUACAACCUGUUAGAUGAAAUGCCCAACUGAGUGUUCUAAUUAAAAGAUAACUGGUCUGCAUUUUCGCGUGUGAAGGAACUGGAUAAGUGAGCAAGUUCAAUUUUUGCGUUUGAGAAAAUUCUGAUGAAUCGGUGUUUUGCAUCUUCUGUUCUUCUUGUUUUCUUAUCGGGAUACUCUCUGUUGGGAUUAAUAAUGAUAGACAGCCAUGCUUGAAUUAUGAUAAAGUUGAGGAUUUGGAAUUCACAUGAGUUUGGG